RNAcentral lists this transfer RNA (62 nucleotides) under Phintella cavaleriei. Its description in RNAcentral is "tRNA-Glu". Lineage: Eukaryota; Metazoa; Arthropoda; Arachnida; Araneae; Salticidae. The record is from RNAcentral.
GAUUAUAUAGUGAAGUUCACAUUAUUAUUUCAUGAUAAAGAUGUUAGUUCUUUUUAUCUUCA